GAAACCGGAGCUAAUACCGGAUAAUAUAUUGAACCGCAUGGUUCAAUAGUGAAAGACGGUUUUGCUGUCACUUAUAGAUGGAUCCGCGCCGCAUUAGCUAGUUGGUAAGGUAACGGCUUACCAAGGCGACGAUGCGUAGCCGACCUGAGAGGGUGAUCGGCCACACUGGAACUGAGACACGGUCCAG
Molecule: ribosomal RNA, 187 nt
Filed under: uncultured Staphylococcus sp.
Lineage: Bacteria; Bacillati; Bacillota; Bacilli; Caryophanales; Staphylococcaceae
Description: partial 16S ribosomal RNA
Rfam family: Bacterial small subunit ribosomal RNA
Source: RNAcentral